RNAcentral lists this ribosomal RNA (547 nucleotides) under uncultured bacterium. RNAcentral's name for it is "bacterial SSU rRNA". It matches the Rfam family "Bacterial small subunit ribosomal RNA", at positions 355 to 896 of the family's 1533-position model. The record is from RNAcentral.
UGGGGAAUAUUGCGCAAUGGGGGCAACCCUGACGCAGCCAUGCCGCGUGAAUGAAGAAGGCCUUCGGGUUGUAAAGUUCUUUCGGUGACGAGGAAGGCGUGAUGUUUAAUAGGCAUCACGAUUGACGUUAAUCACAGAAGAAGCACCGGCUAACUCCGUGCCAGCAGCCGCGGUAAUACGGAGGGUGCGAGCGUUAAUCGGAAUAACUGGGCGUAAAGGGCACGCAGGCGGCUAUUUAAGUGAGGUGUGAAAUCCCCGGGCUUAACCUGGGAAUUGCAUCUCAGACUGGGUAGCUAGAGUACUUUAGGGAGGGGUAGAAUUCCACGUGUAGCGGUGAAAUGCGUAGAGAUGUGGAGGAAUACCGAAGGCGAAGGCAGCCCCUUGGGAAUGUACUGACGCUCAUGUGCGAAAGCGUGGGGAGCAAACAGGAUUAGAUACCCUGGUAGUCCACGCUGUAAACGCUGUCGAUUUGGGGAUUGGGCCUUGAGCUUGGUGCCCGAAGCUAACGUGAUAAAUCGACCGCCUGGGGAGUACGGCCGCAAGGUUA